GAUAAACGCUGGCGGCGUGCCUAACACAUGCAAGUCGAGCGAUCCCGCAAGGGAGAGUGGCGGAAGGGUGAGUAACACGUGGGAAUCUACCUCCUCGCAGGGAACAACCUCUCGAAAGAGAGGCUAAUACCCAAAAGGGUCAGAAAUGAUCAGAGUCGAAAGGCGUGAGGAGAGGAGCCCGCGGCCCAUCAGCUAGUUGGUGAGGUAAUGGCUUACCAAGGCUACGACGGGUAGGGGAUCUGAGAGGAUGUCCCCCACACUGGAACUGAAACAACGGUCCAGACGCCUACGGGUGGGCAGCAGUGAGGAAUAUUGGACAAAUGGGCGGAAGCCGGUCCCAGCAACGCCGCGUGGAGGAUGAAGGCCUCGGUCGUAACGUACUUAGUAGGAGGACGAGAAGGAACGGU
RNAcentral lists this ribosomal RNA (407 nucleotides) under uncultured bacterium. Its description in RNAcentral is "bacterial SSU rRNA". It matches the Rfam family "Bacterial small subunit ribosomal RNA", at positions 28 to 459 of the family's 1533-position model. The record is from RNAcentral.